RNAcentral lists this long non-coding RNA (258 nucleotides) under Elaeis guineensis (African oil palm). RNAcentral describes it as "long non-coding RNA (EGUI_LNC035098)". Lineage: Eukaryota; Viridiplantae; Streptophyta; Magnoliopsida; Arecales; Arecaceae. The record is from RNAcentral.
CACCUAGUCUGAGAGAUCGUGGAUCGAGGUGAUGUCAAGCUUCAGAAGAUCGAUGGAAAGAAGAAUCUGGCCGAUCCAUUUACUAAAGCCCUCAGCGUUAAGGAGUUCAAAGACUACAAAUCAAAGAUGGGUGUACGAUACUGCACCGAUUGAUUUUAGUCCAAGUGGAAGUUGUUAGAAAUUAUGUUCCAAAAUCAAUCGUCAGCCUGUUGAUGGUUGUGCUUAUCAUUGUAAUUGUAUAUGAGUUAUUAAAUUAAU